Peromyscus maniculatus bairdii (prairie deer mouse) is the source of this 641-nucleotide non-coding RNA. Lineage: Eukaryota; Metazoa; Chordata; Mammalia; Rodentia; Cricetidae. The record is from RefSeq and is a predicted model, not a curated record.
GAGAGAAUAAUGCAGGGCAAUAUCACUGUUACUGUUAUAACUCUGCUGGGUGGACUGAGAAGAGUGACGCCCUGGAGCUGGUGGUGACAGGUGUCUACUACAAACCCACCCUGUCUGCCCUGCCAAACCCUGUUGUAAUCUUAGGAGGAUCUGUGACCCUCUCAUGUACCUCAAAUCAGAAAUACGACAGGUUCAUUUUAAUUAAGGACAAGCAGUUCUACAGCUUCAUGGACUCACAAUAUGUAUAUACUGGCCUGUCUCCAGCCAGGUUCCAAGUGGGUCCCAUCACACUCAGUGAAAGAUGGAGUUUCAGAUGCUAUGGUUAUCAUGCAAGCAAGCCUCAAGUGUGGUCAGAAGGGAGUGACAUCCUGGAGCUUAUAGUCUCAGGUGUCUACUACAAACCCACCCUGUCUACACUUCCAUACCCUGUUGUAACCUUAGGAGGAUCUGUGACCCUCUCAUGUACCUCCAAUCAGAGAUAUAAUGGGUUCAUUUUAAUUAAGGAUGAGCACUUCUCCAGUUCCAUGGACUCACAAUAUGUAUAUGAUGGGCUGUCUCCAGCCAGGUUCCAAGUGGGUCCCAUCACACUCAGUGAAAAAUGGAGUUUCAGAUGCUUUGGCUAUUACUCAAGCAAGCCUCAA